AUACGGAGGAUGCAAGCGUUAUCCGGAUUCAUUGGGUUUAAAGGGUGCGCAGGCGGAGAGAUAAGUCAGUGGUGAAAAACUGCCGCUCAACGGUAGUCUUGCCAUUGGAUACUGUCUUUCUUGAGUAUGGAUGAGGUAGGCGGAAUGUGCAGUGUAGCGGUGAAAUGCAUAGAUAUUGCACGGAACACCAAUUGCGAAGGCAGCUUACUGGACCAUUACUGACGGCUCAGGCACGAAAGCCGUGGGGAUCAAA
RNAcentral lists this ribosomal RNA (253 nucleotides) under uncultured prokaryote. RNAcentral's name for it is "partial 16S ribosomal RNA". It matches the Rfam family "Bacterial small subunit ribosomal RNA", at positions 523 to 772 of the family's 1533-position model. The record is from RNAcentral.